Molecule: long non-coding RNA, 1057 nt
Filed under: Gossypium barbadense (sea-island cotton)
Lineage: Eukaryota; Viridiplantae; Streptophyta; Magnoliopsida; Malvales; Malvaceae
Description: long non-coding RNA (GBAR_LNC010104)
Source: RNAcentral
UUUUUAACAUUUUAACUUCAAGAUAUUUAAAAUAGUAAUGACAUGGGAAACCCAUCAUUGCUAUAAAUCAACUAAAUGUUAAGAGCGAAGUUAGAUAAACGGCUUCUUUCUCAAUACCAUCACAUUCCAUCAAUUAAAAGGGAAAAAAAAGAAAAAUAAUCACGUAAAAAUUUUAUAUAUAAAUAAAACAGCAUGAACAAGAAAAUGAGAAGAAAACAAUAGAAAAGAAAUGCCUGGCUUUCCCAUGUACGCCGCUGAAAAUUUUUUUUCUAGCAAGCAAACCUUAUAUGUCGACGACGCCUUCGGAAGUGCCCCACACGCCGUGACGGAGAACUUUCAAGGCUGCCGGGAUAUACUUGAUAUAUACUUCAAUCCCUUGCGAGCAACCGAUAAUAUCAUACAAUAAUUUCUUCCUCUUCUUCAUUGCUAUCUGGGGCUUCUUCAGCUGAUAUCCUUUAUUCCUUCACAAAUCCUAUUAAUGUUCAAAAGGAGAGAAACAAAAAAGGUGAAAAAGAAAGAGAGUUUGAUAAGAACAUGGAAGAGGGUUGCUCCGAAGAAGAUGACGAGCAAUUCCCUUUAAUGUUGUUUUCAAAGGUGAAAUCGAAGGGUUUUUGUUUUUAUUUGUCUUUUGGGGUUCGAGGGCCUUUUUGUUUCACACGUUGGGGUGGUUACAUUUUGUCAAAUAUGCAUCAUUUUUAAUAACUUUAAAUAAUACUAUGUGGUGUAAAAAAAAAUCGUAUAUGCUUUACGUUUAUGAUAAUUUUUUUUAAAAAAUUACAUUUUAAAUUUUGAAUAUCUUUAAUAAUUUUUUAUUAUAAGAAUUUUGAUUUGAAAUUGGUUUUUUUAUAUGGGAUAUCAAAAUCAGUCAUAUUUUUUAUUAUACUAAAAAUUUUGCUAUACACAUAUGCGUGUGUAAACCACAUAUUUAGAAUGUAGAUGUGUGUUUAAAUUAAAAAAUUAAAAUAUCCUCAAAUAAUAUAACUUAUUUUAAAUAUGGAAUAACAUUUUUGUAAUUUUCUUAAUCGAGUUGGUGCCCUGUUGACUUGUAACACCAAUU